GAGUUUGAUCCUGGCUCAGGAUGAACGCUAGCGACAGGCUUAACACAUGCAAGUCGAGGGGCAGCGGGGGCGAAGCUUGCUUCGCCUGCCGGCGACCGGCGCACGGGUGAGUAACACGUAUGCGACCUGCCCCCCGCAGGGGGAUAACCGGGAGAAAUCCCGACUAAUACCGCGUAACGCCGCGGGGCUGCAUGGCCCCGCGGCCAAAGGAAGCGAUUCCGGCGGGGGAUGGGCAUGCGGCGCAUUAGCUAGUCGGCGGGGUAACGGCCCACCGAGGCGACGAUGCGUAGGGGUUCUGAGAGGAAGGUCCCCCACACUGGUACUGAGACACGGACCAGACUCCUACGGGAGGCAGCAGUGAGGAAUAUUGGUCAAUGGGCGUAAGCCUGAACCAGCCAAGUCGCGUGAGGGAAGACGGUCCUACGGAUUGUAAACCUCUUUUGCCGGGGAGCAACGGGGUCCUUGCGAGGGCCUUAUGAGAGUACCCGGAGAAAAAGCAUCGGCUAACUCCGUGCCAGCAGCCGCGGUAAUACGGAGGAUGCGAGCGUUAUCCGGAUUUAUUGGGUUUAAAGGGUGCGUAGGCGGGCUGUUAAGUCAGCGGUCAAAUGUCGGGGCUCAACCCCGGCCUGCCGUUGAAACUGGCGGC
This 646-nucleotide ribosomal RNA is filed under the name uncultured bacterium. Its description in RNAcentral is "bacterial SSU rRNA". It matches the Rfam family "Bacterial small subunit ribosomal RNA", at positions 9 to 640 of the family's 1533-position model. The record is from RNAcentral.